Molecule: ribosomal RNA, 498 nt
Filed under: uncultured bacterium
Lineage: Bacteria
Description: bacterial SSU rRNA
Rfam family: Bacterial small subunit ribosomal RNA
Source: RNAcentral
ACUCAAAGGAAUAGACGGGGGCCCGCACAAGCGGUGGAGCAUGUGGUUUAAUUCGAUGGUACGCGAGGAACCUUACCAGGGCUUGACAUGGGGCGGAGCGGGCGUGAAAGCGUCCGGCCCUUCGGGGCCGUCCCACAGGUGCUGCAUGGUUGUCGUCAGCUCGUGCUGUGAAGUGUUGGGUUAAGUCCCGCAACGAGCGCAACCCCUGCCGUCUGUUGCCAGCAAGUGAAGUUGGGGACUCAGGCGGAACUGCCGGUGACAAACCGGAGGAAGGUGGGGACGACGUCAAAUCAUCAUGGCCUUUAUGUCCUGGGCCACACACGUGCUACAAUGGCCGGUACAGAGCGCAGCGAAGCCGCGAGGCAAAGCGAAUCGCCCAAAGCCGGUCUCAGUACGGAUUGGAGUCUGAAACUCGACUCCAUGAAGUUGGAAUCGCUAGUAAUCGCGCAUCAGCAUGGCGCGGUGAAUACGUUCCCGGGCCUUGCACACACCGCCCGU